ACCAUGUCACUAUUUUCUGGGGAUAUGUAUGAGAAAAGACAAGAUAGCUCUCAAUGAAUGAAGUUGUAAUCAACAUUGUCGAGUUGAAGAUUUCUUAAAACCUUGGGCUGGAAUCUACCUGUUACCGAAGACAAAAAAUCAAGUUUUGCGGAGCAGCUGAAUGGAGUUAUAGUGUUGUUCAGGACAAAAUCCAAGAACUACAUGCAUGGAGAGACUUGUAACCAAUGUUAGUAUCACUCACAGUCCCUUUAUUUUUCAGCUUGUGUCCAUUAUUUAAUGUUAUGUUUAAAAAUAAGGUAUAUCUUAUCUUCCAAGAAUUUGAAACACGGAGUGGAAAAGCAGAGGGGGAGAGAGAGAGGAGGUUAUCCAAAUCGGUCUUCAACUCAACUUUAGCUUAAGAUUAUGACCAUAUGAAUAUGACAUAAACAUCAUUCCAUCUAGUUGUUUGUCAAAUCAAAUACCCCAAUUAAGUCAUUAUAAUGUUUUUACUUCUUAGAAAUUCAUUUUGCACCAAACUACUACCAUCACUUUCUUUGAGCACCCUAUGUGUACUAGCGAUGGCAACAUUUUUGAUAUAUUAUGAUUAUCUUUCUAUUUAAAUUUUAUUAUGGGUUCGUAGCAUUUCACCGACAUAUUAUUUUGAAUUUGAUUGGAAUUUGAUUUGGGAGGUCCACACUACCCCAGAAUGUAAAUUUCUCAACAUUUUCAUGAUAGUAAUUUCCAUCUUUGAUUUUUGUAGGAAUGUAAUACUCGUAAGAGAAAGCAAGUUGAAAAACCAGAUGCUCCAAGGUUAUCCACUUCCAGGUUUAAAGUUCCCAAAUUGAAGAGUGCCUCUCCACGUACCACAUACUAAAAUGAAAAAAUGAAAAGAAAUGAAAAAAGAAAAAAAGUAAAAAAGAAAAGAGAGGAAAAAAAAGGAAAAAAAAAAGAAAAAGAAAAGAAAAAAUGGAAUAAGAGAAGAAAAAAACAAACUAUGCUACUUAAAGAAAAGAAAAAAUGGAAUAAGAGAAGAAAAAAACAAACUAUGUAAUUGUAGUAGCAGGCCAGGAGUAUUGAUCAUGUGUAUGACAACUAUUGGAACGCUGCAAGCACGUCCACCAAAGUAAGUAGUGUUGCUUUAAUUCCUAAUCUUUCAUGUGUAUUAUAGGCAAUGAACCAUUUACUAGGGAUGAUUUGAUAACAAUUCAAGUAUGCAAUAGUGUCCAUUCAUUGUGUUCUGUUUGCUGAAAGUUGAUACUAAAAAUUUCAAUGACCUUUUUGUCUUGAGAUGUGUAUUUUACGAGAUAUCUACAAUAUGUAAUCCAUCGAAUGGAAGGGCAACUGAAAAAUAUCCUGUCUUUGUGUCCAUUAGACGUUACCCUAUGCCAUUGUUUUGAAAUGCCCACCAACCCAUUUUGAUGGAGAGCUUGAAGUGUCAACAUUGCUCAUGGUAUAACUGUGAAAUUCAAGUAUCCAUGCACUGCCAUGGAAUGUUAACCCAUGAUCAGAAAAUGAGACUGAUCGAAAUGUAUAACUUUCAGGAUUUUAAUUUCAAAAUUUCAUGGAAAGGAAUAAAUUUAUCAGAUUGGUACUCUACUUGUAGAAAUUUUAAAUAUGAUGCAAACUAUCAAAAAUUUGAUUUUUGUGAGAUUGCUUUUGUGUUUGCAUGAUUUGUGAGAAAAGUAAUUUUAUGAUUUAUUUGAUUUAGCAGUAGACAUUGAAGUCGUGUAUGAAUAUCACGUCGAAAAUUGAAUGCACAUUAUAUAAUCGAGUGUGAUCAUUUCGAUAUUUGUCAAACUUGUCAGGUAAAAAGCACAAAUACUUCAGAUGCUGCCUCAUGGUCCUUCACUUCUACUUCUUAUGAUCGUGUCACUAAGUAUAAAUAUGAAUAUGUCAAAGGUGAAGAAACCCUUAGAAGAAAGGGUAUGUUUGGUUACACAAUACAUGGUGACUUGAACGUAGAACUGCAUUGUGACUUAGCUUCCAGGGAAUGUGAAAAUUUAUCACAUUAUGUGAGUGUGGCUACUGCAAUGGUUAUCUUUCCAUCAAAGUAUUAGGUAUGCAUCUUUGCCAUCUUUUUCAUUGUGUUCCUUGCUUUUGUUAAUGAUUUCUAAUCCCAAAAUCACCGGUGCUUUUUGGCCCUAUUAUUUAGUAAUUAUAUGGGUGGUGAUCCCACUGUUUUUUGGCCUUUUAAAGAUGAACUACACUCAAAAGUAGUUCAGUCGGGGAGGGGUGUUUUUAGUAUUGCAAACAGUAGUCCUCACACAAAUGUUUCCCAAUUCUUCAUCCUAUAAAUGUCUGCGAAUCAUCUGAACUUCAAUCAUACUGUUUUUGGUGGAGUUGUAGGGUUCUUGACUACCCUAGAAGUAAUGAUAGAGGGGAAAAUCCAAACAGUAGAUACUAAUUAAAUCAUAUCCGUUUCGUCAUUUAUUGCAUUUCAGCUCUCAACUUCCCGCUGUAUAACUAAAGCAUGCCAUUAUUUUUCUUGAAAUUUUUUAUUGAAUACAGAUUAUAAAUUUCAAGCUUUGAAUCUACCUCACAACAAAUCAAGAUUGGCACUAACCAGCAAUGCUGUACCAAGAUGUGUUCUUCUACUAGUAAAGAAGAUCAAAAGGUUUGUAUUGAACCCCACUAUCCGGAGAUGCUAAUAAAAUAAGUAGCCUAUUUAUUAAAUUAUUUUAGUCAUUUCAUAAGGGGAUAGUAUUAUCUGACUUUGUUGUUUUGUUAGUGAUAUUUUUUUCCGUGAAAAGAGUAUUUCCAAAUUCGAAUGACUAAUGUAUUUGUGUCCUGAUUGGUAAUAUGUUAUUGCAGUGGUAAAAAUGCUUGGCAAACAAAUGUGGCUUAUGACGCAUGCAUUAGCUUGGUUCUGCAUGCAGGGGGCAAGAGGCUGCACAAAAAUCUCUGAAUUUUGUACGAUGAGUGCUUGGUUGUUUGGAGUGCCUUUAGGUAUGUUACCAACCUUAGAAAUUAGAAUAUUGUUAUUUAAAAUGACUAGGAAAGUAUACCUCUUGUUACAAACCCUAACAUUUCAUCUUAUAUAUAUAUAUAUCAUCACUAGGCACACAGUUCGAUUUGGAAUUUUUCAAAAACUUAAUGCGAUUUUCUUCUUCUUCGACAUUGAGAUUAUCUUUAAGUUCCAAAGUAUGACGUUUUAUUUAUUUAUUUGGUGCAGCUAUUAUUAGGUGGUGGUGGUGGUACUGGUCCAAAUCCAAUACACAAUUCAUCCAUUUGCAUAAUCUCUAUUGUUAUGAGUUUCUCUUCUCCAAGAUUACCUUUUCAAAUUCGUAAAACCCAUAACUUCCCAGGUACUACUACUAGGAAGCUCAGAGGGCUUUGCUAAUUUUUUGUAUUAUUUUAGGAUUUAACCGCUAUAUCUGUAACUUCAAAUUUUCUACUCUUUCCAAAGUUAUGCAUUCUACUGUAUAUUGCUUGAAUGCUUAAUUUUUCAUUUAUCUUCUUAUGUCCCUGUUCCUUUCACCUUGAAAUUGUUUUUACCAUGCAUUCAUGCUUUAAAACUCUAGCACAUAUAUGCUCUAAGCCUCUAACACUGUCCUACAUUUAUCGCUUUUACCAUGCAGGGAAUAUCACAAAACCCUAUGCCGCCACAUGUGAUAUAUUUCCAGGUACAGAAAAUUUUGUUUCCGUUAUAUCCUAUGUAAAUCUCCCCCCCCCCCCCCCCCCCCCCAAAAAAAACACACACACACAUGCAGCUUCUCCAUAGGGAUCAAGCAAUUGUCCAGACUUGAGUUAUGAUUUUCUAUAUUUUCCCAUUAAUAUUUUCAUUUUUUUUUCUUGUAGAUUUGGAAGACAGAGGCACAACCACUACUAUGUAAUUUGUCUCAGUUUCUUUUAUUACUAUGGAAGGUGGAGUGAUAAAGGUAAUGACAAACAUCUUUUUUGUCUCCCAAUAGUUCCCUAUUUAUACCACUUAAAGAACAUUAAGAAAAUAAUAUAUGUUUGGAGUUUCUUAUCCACAAUGUUGCCUCACUAGACCUUAUGAGUAGUCUUGGUAGAAGCAUCUAUGAUCAUAUAAUCCUCUAAUUUUGAGCAGAUUUCUCACUCCUGAUCAUGACAAACAGAUGAAGAUAAAUGUAUCUGGAGCUAAAUCAGAAGCUAUUUUGGAAGGAAAAGUUGCCACUAUUAUGUGUUCUUACAAGUUACAAUCUAGUUAAUUGAAUUCCUACCUGUGCUGACCCUAAUCUUCUACGUAAUACAUCAGAGGGUACUGGAGGCUUAAUGGGUGAGUUUCAUAUUCCGAUUAUGUUGACCAAAGUCAACAAUCAACACCAAUAAAAAUUUGAUUACAUCCAUGGGACUAAAUAAAAUAUGACAUAUUUUUCAUAUGUGUGGAACAGGUACAUUGUUUCCGAUUGCAAUUCAGUAGUUGUUUUCUACGAUAACAACCACUGCACCGCUAUUGAAGGAAGCAGCUGCAGAUGCCAUUAAAGUCGGUUAGUAAAUGCCUAUAUAGAUUAGUGUCGUCAUUUUUGUGUGUUUGGCUAAGUAGAACUUUUAUUUUAUUGAUAUAGUAACAUGAACCUCAAUUUGAUUGUUGUUAUUGUAUUUCUAUUAUUUCAGGUUAGAUUUGGACUGUGGCCUAUUUCUUGCAGUGCACACUGAGCUGGCCAUAGAAAGAAGGUUAUUGAGGAGGUGGAUGUAAACAAUGCACUUGUUAAUACAAUGACAGUCCAAAUGAGGCUGGGUAGGUUUGAUGAUGAGCCAUCUAAGCAGCCAUACGGACGCUUAGGUCCACCAGAUGUGUGUUUCUCGACUAACAACCAACUAGCUCUUGAGGCUGCUCUACAAUGGAUAAUCUUGUUGUGUGAUUCCUUGAGUUUAUCAAUAAAGUUUCUGUUAAGAAGAAAAAAAAAGGAAAAUAAAAAAAUAGAAAAAAAAAAAAAACAAAGGAGAAAAAAGAAAAAAUAAAAGGAAAAAAGAAAAUGAUAGAAAAAGGAAAACAAAAGUGAAAAAGAAAAAAUAGUAAUUAUAGUAGCAGGCCAGGAAAAUCAUUCAUUUGUAUGACAGUCAACGGAAUGCUGCGAGCACGUCCACCGAAGUAAGUGGUGUUUCUUUUACUCCUGAUAUAUUAAGCACCCCAAAUUGUUGAUUGACAACUGGUGUUCGCAAUAUGCUUUAGCUUUGGAAAGAGUAAGAAUAUGAUUUUUUUGCAUAUUAUUAUUGAUAAGGAUAUAUUUAGGAUGAUGGCAUUUUCCUUGGUUAUCAUCCUAAACAGCUGUACUAACGUGGCACACACAUACACAUGCACACACAAGGGGAACAUCUUGGAGUUUUUGUGUUUUCUUAUCUUCACAAGUAACGACAACCUUUGCAGGUACUGUCUUCUGGAAAUCAUACCAUGUCACUAUUUUCUGGGGAUAUGUAUGAGAAAAGACAAGAUAGCUCUCAAUGAGUAUGAAGUUGUAAUCAACAUUGUCGAGCUGAAGAUUUCUUAAAACCUUGGGCUGGAAUCUACCUGUUACGGAAGACAAAAAAUCAAGUUUUGUCUGGGGAGAUGCUGGCUUGACAUUUUGGAGUCCAAAUGUGAACAUAUUUAGAGACCCAAGGUGGGGUCAUGGACAAGAAACUCCUGUUGAAGACCCAGUUUUAGCCGGUAAGUAUGCCGCUAGCUAUGUGAGAGGACUCCAACUCUCCAAGGUUACGGAGGUAACCCAUUGAAGGUAGCAGCAUGUUGUAAACAUUACACAGCAGACGAGCUUGAUAACUGGAAUGGCGUUGAUGCUUCCACUUUGAUGCCAAGGUAAAUAUUACAGCAACCUGUUGGGUCUUGGUUUGAAUUUUGUUUAGUAAUAAAGCCCAUGAUUUGAGCAUGUUUGGGGUUUUCACAUUUGCAGUUUAGCAAACAAGACGUUGAGGAUAC
This 5857-nucleotide long non-coding RNA is filed under the name Aquilegia coerulea. RNAcentral's name for it is "long non-coding RNA (ACOE_LNC001797)". The record is from RNAcentral. Lineage: Eukaryota; Viridiplantae; Streptophyta; Magnoliopsida; Ranunculales; Ranunculaceae.